Mangifera indica (mango) is the source of this 1965-nucleotide RNA transcript. RefSeq lists it as uncharacterized. Lineage: Eukaryota; Viridiplantae; Streptophyta; Magnoliopsida; Sapindales; Anacardiaceae. The transcript is spliced from 9 exons. The record is from RefSeq and is a predicted model, not a curated record.
ACUUUAUCCGCUCCUUUAUAACAUCGCAUUAACACUCCUUACUCACUGAGCUCACCGCUCCCCUUUUUAUUUUUAGGGUUUCUCAUCAUUCACCUACCGAUCGGCUCCAUAAGAGCAUCUUUCUCUUCGUUUUGAGUACGGAAAGUUCAUUUUUUUGGGUUAUUGUGCGCGGAUAUGCUCGUUUUGUGGGCGCAAGUUCAACAUCGUGUUCAGGUGUGUUUUUCGAGUUUGCGGAAUUUUUGUCUGUAAGCUGAGAGAACGUGAGGAAACGAAAGAAAAUUGAAGCUUAUAGUCUUCAAAAGGUAUUGUUGUGAACAUCUCUUGUUCUGACAAUCGAUAACCAUAGUGUUUUCUUUUGUAAAACUCAAUGGUGCCAGUAGGCUAGUGGAGCUAUGGACUGUUUUCAGAUUGUUGGUCAUCUCAAAGGAUCCCUGUGUCAGGUGUUCUUAUUAUUCAUCACCUGGCUGUUUAGUUUCCAAGAUGUAGUGGCAUUUCAAACAGUGCUUAAGCCUAGUCAUGUUUCUUCCAUUUCUCAGCUGGCAAAUCCUCCUAGCAGUGGACUGUUUGAACCUAUAGAGAUUUCACCAGCUGUAUUUCCACAUUUUCCAUAUACUGGUGAAACUUUGCCACCACCAAUGUACCCAUACCCAACUUUUCCUACUACAUAUGAACCGAAUUUAACUGGGCGAUGCCCUGUAAAUUUCUCUGCCAUGUCAGUUAUCAUGGACAAAACAGCAACUGAUUGUUCGCUAGCUGCACUUGUAGGAAAUGUAAUAUGUUGUCCGCAGCUCGGCAGUUUACUUCACAUAUUCCAGGGUUUCUACAGCAUGAAAUCUGGGAGUUUGGUCUUGCAAAAUGCAGUUGCUAAUGAUUGUUUUUCAGAUAUCAUCAGUAUAUUAGCUAGCAAGGGGGCCAACAGCACAAUUCGAACACUCUGCUCUGUAACAUCAUCAAAUCUCACAGGUGGUUCAUGUCCGGUUAAGGAUGUUAAUAGUUUUGAGGAAACAGUAAACACAAGCAAACUACUGGAGGCCUGCAGCACUGUUGAUCCUCUUAAAGAGUGUUGUAGACCAGUUUGUCAACCUGCCAUUAUGGAGGCUGCUCUGCAGAUUUCAGGAUCAUCAUUAACAAUUAACGACAAUAAAAAUCUAGUUGGAGGGUCAAAUCAUGUUCAUGCGCUAAAUGACUGUAAAGGGGUUGUAUACUCGUAUCUCUCUAGUAAAUUAUCAGCAGAUGCAGCCAAUACUGCAUUCCGGAUAUUAUCUGCCUGCAAAGUUAACAAGGUUUGCCCAUUGGAGUUUAAGCAGCCUUCAGAAGUAAUUGAAGCAUGCCGUAAUGUAGCAGCUCCAAGUCCGACAUGCUGUAGCUCAUUGAAUACCUAUAUUGCAGGAAUACAGCAACAGAUGCUAAUUACAAAUAAACAAGCCAUAAUCUGUGCUGCAUUUUUUGGGUCUAUGUUACGGAAAGGAGGAGUUAUGACAAAUGUCUAUGAGCUCUGCGACGUUGAUCUGAAAGACUUUAGCAUUCAAGCAGCAUAUGGACAAGGUUUGCUUCAAAUUUCUCCUGUCCUCCUCUCCCUUGAUGUCUACUUCGAAGCUUGCCUGCAGAUGUGGUCUUUGACAAUUCGACGGGCUACAGCUUCCAAUGUGACCUAACUGACAACAUUGCAGCUCCAUGGCCUUUAUCAUCCUCAAUGUCAACCUUGUCUCUCUGUGCUCCUGAGAUGUCAUUGCCUGCCUUGCCAACAUCAGAGACUUUGACCAAUCAUGGUUGUGGCGGUUGUUUGUUGGAUGUCCUUGUUCCCAUUUUUUCAUUUUUUGUUUUCAGUGCAUUGUUGUACUGAAAGUUAUUGAGGGUCGAGUCAAGCUGGAUUGGAAUAGGGGCUUUUUGGUAAUUGAAUUGUGGUGGAUUUCACAUGUAUAUUUUUGAGUAAGCCUUUUUGUAUAGCAGAUUUUUUUUCCCCCA